AGCGAACGCUGGCGGCGUGCUUAACACAUGCAAGUCGAGGGAGAACGGAGGGCUUCGGCCUUCCUAGUAAACCGGCGCACGGGUGAGUAACACGUAGGUAACCUACCUCCGAGACCGGGAUAACCUGUCGAAAGAUAGACUAAUACCGGAUAAGACCACGAUGGUUUCGGCCACUGCGGUCAAAGAUGGCCUCUGCUUGCAAGCUAUCACUUGGAGAUGGGCCUGCGCGCCAUUAGCUAGUUGGUGAGGUAACGGCUCACCAAGGCGACGAUGGCUAGUUGGUCUGAGAGGAUGACCAGCCACACUGGGACUGAGACACGGCCCAGACUCCUACGGGAGGCAGCAGUGGGGAAUAUUGCGCAAUGGGGAAACCC
Molecule: ribosomal RNA, 374 nt
Filed under: uncultured bacterium
Lineage: Bacteria
Description: bacterial SSU rRNA
Rfam family: Bacterial small subunit ribosomal RNA
Source: RNAcentral